AACGUAGGUGGCAAGCGUUAUCCGGAUUUACUGGGCGUAAAGCGUGUGCAGGCGGGUGGACAAGUGGUGUAUGAAAUCGCCAGGCUAAACCUGGCGGGGUUAUGCCAGACUGUCCGUCUGGAGUGCGAGAGAGGGGCGUGGAAUUCCGGGUGUAGUGGUGAAAUGCGUAGAGAUCCGGAGGAACCCCAGAGGCGAAGGCGGCGCCCUGGCUCGCAACUGACGCUCAGACACGACAGCAUGGGGAGCGAACGGG
Molecule: ribosomal RNA, 253 nt
Filed under: uncultured bacterium
Lineage: Bacteria
Description: partial 16S ribosomal RNA
Rfam family: Bacterial small subunit ribosomal RNA
Source: RNAcentral